Molecule: long non-coding RNA, 1159 nt
Filed under: Ornithorhynchus anatinus (platypus)
Lineage: Eukaryota; Metazoa; Chordata; Mammalia; Monotremata; Ornithorhynchidae
Description: lncRNA (ENSOANG00000046156.1)
Source: RNAcentral
AACUUAUUUUCACCAAUUUAAAAAUAUAUUUUUAUUCCAUAUGAGAAGUAUGACCGCAACAAGUGAGCCAAGAUUAAAACCCAGGCAGGAUCCAGAGGUCGAGCGGGAUGGGAACCGCGUCCAAUUGGAUUAUCUUGGAUCUAGCCCAGUAAUUAACAUGAUGCUUUGGCACAUUGUAAGCACUUAAUAAAUACUGGUUUUAUUAUUCUGUUUUGUCAUCUAUCCUCUCACACGCUCGCACCCACACCCACACCCCCCCCACCACCCCCUUACCUCUUUAUGAGUUUUACGUAUUCAUCCAUAUCUUCUUGGUUUGGUCUUCCUCCAGCCAGUAGGAACUGAAAUGAAAAACCCAAACAGAUCCAAAUGAAACUCUGAGGAUUCAAUUAAAUCUAAUGUACCCCAUCUAAAUCCCAAUCCCAAUGUAUUGCUUCUUUCCCCUUUCCUGGAACUGUUUUCUUCCUUGUUUCAAAGACUAUUUUGUCCAACUUCUUUCUACAUCUGCUUUUUCACUCUAAAACCUCAAUGCCAGGGAGAUUAUUUAUGAUUUAUAGGAAGAGAGCUCUCCUUUCAACAUUAAGAUGGCUGGGCCGCCUUUAGAAUCCAAAGUGUCUGGUCAAAAUGAAAAUGUGGAUGGUGACAGGAACAACAAGUAGCUGUUAGAUUGAAAAAAUAUUCUGUCAAAUGUAUUUCAUUAUUUUUAAGUAUGUAAAGAAUGAAGCUGGAAGAGGUUUGUAAAUGACCUCUUCAAAGACUCUUCAUUAGCUUGAAGAACUAAUAGAUCGGGGAAAGGAAAUUCAGUUUUCAUCGACGCUUCUAAUUUGAUAGCAUAUUUUCUGAACAUGUUUAACAGGAUAACACCACUGAAUAUCUAAAGUACUGUAUGUAAAAAUAACUUCAUUACUUGAAAUUUCAUCACAGCUUUGAAGGUGUUUUAGGGGCUGUGUAAAUCACCUUGAAUGUAUUACAGAACCUCAGCUCUGUAAGAGUUCUAAGUGAAAACUUGCCGUGUUUUUAUUUUUGUCAUAUCAAGAACAUCCUUUUUGAUUCAGCAUAACAUGCAAUAUUAUGGUUAUUUGCAGUACCCUUAUAAUUUCAUUUAACCAGUUUGAUGGAGAGAAUAUCUGGCAUUGAAUACAGAGUAGUAUAUUGUUAGUAG